RNAcentral lists this ribosomal RNA (233 nucleotides) under Pantoea agglomerans. Its description in RNAcentral is "partial 23S ribosomal RNA". It matches the Rfam family "Bacterial large subunit ribosomal RNA", at positions 2268 to 2500 of the family's 2925-position model. The record is from RNAcentral. Lineage: Bacteria; Pseudomonadati; Pseudomonadota; Gammaproteobacteria; Enterobacterales; Erwiniaceae.
GUUUGACUGGGGCGGUCUCCUCCUAAAGAGUAACGGAGGAGCACGAAGGUCAGCUAAUCACGGUCGGACAUCGUGAGGUUAGUGCAAUGGCAUAAGCUGGCUUGACUGCGAGAGUGACGGCUCGAGCAGGUGCGAAAGCAGGUCAUAGUGAUCCGGUGGUUCUGAAUGGAAGGGCCAUCGCUCAACGGAUAAAAGGUACUCCGGGGAUAACAGGCUGAUACCGCCCAAGAGUU